This 460-nucleotide ribosomal RNA is filed under the name uncultured bacterium. RNAcentral's name for it is "partial 16S ribosomal RNA". It matches the Rfam family "Bacterial small subunit ribosomal RNA", at positions 338 to 795 of the family's 1533-position model. The record is from RNAcentral.
CCUACGGGGGGCAGCAGUGAGGAAUAUUGGUCAAUGGGCGUAAGCCUGAACCAGCCAAGUCGCGUGAGGGAUGAAGGUUCUAUGGAUCGUAAACCUCUUUUAUAAGGUAAUAAAGUGCGGGUCGUGUCCCGUUUUGUAUGUACCUUAUGAAUAAGGAUCGGCUAACUCCGUGCCAGCAGCCGCGGUAAUACGGAGGAUCCGAGCGUUAUCCGGGUUUAUUGGGUUUAAAGGGUGCCUUGGGGGCCUUUUAAGUCAGCGGUGAAAGUCUGUGGCUCAAACCUAGAAUUGCCGUGGAAACUAGGAGGCUUGAGUAUGUUUGAGGCAGGCGGAAUGCGUGGUGGAGCGGUGAAAUGCUUAGAUAUCACGCAGAACCCCGAGUGCGAAGGCAGCCUGCCAAGCCAAGACUGACGCUGAUGCACGAAAGCGUGGGGAGCAAACAGGAUUAGAUACCCUUGUAGUC